Molecule: ribosomal RNA, 209 nt
Filed under: uncultured bacterium
Lineage: Bacteria
Description: partial 16S ribosomal RNA
Rfam family: Bacterial small subunit ribosomal RNA
Source: RNAcentral
UCGGAUUGUAGGCUGAAACUCGCCUGCAUGAAGUUGGAAUCGCUAGUAAUCGCGGAUCAGCAUGCCGCGGUGAAUACGUUCCCGGGCCUUGUACACACCGCCCGUCACACCAUGAGAGUCGGGGACACCCGAAGUCCGUAGUCUAACCGCGAAGGGGGACGCGGCCGAAGGUGGAUUCGAUAAUUGGGGUGAAGUCGUAACAAGGUAGC